GACGAACGCUGGCGGCGUGCCUAAUACAUGUAAGUAGAACGCACAGUUUAUACCGUAGCUUGCUACACCAUAGACUGUGAGUUGCGAACGGGUGAGUAACGCGUAGGUAACCUGCCUGGUAGCGGGGGAUAACUAUUGGAAACGAUAGCUAAUACCGCAUAAUAUUAAUUAUUGCAUGAUAAUUAAUUGAAAGGUGCAAUUGCACCACUACCAGAUGGACCUGCGUUGUAUUAGCUAGUAGGUGAGGUAACGGCUCACCUAGGCGACGAUACAUAGCCGACCUGAGAGGGUGAUCGGCCACACUGGGACUGAGACACGGCCCAGACUCCUACGGGAGGCAGCAGUAGGGAAUCUUCGACAAUGGACGAAAGUCUGACCGAGCAACGCCGCGUGAGUGAAGAAGGUUUUCGGAUCGUAAAGCUCUGUUGUAAGAGAAGAACGGGUGUGAGAGUGGAAAGUUCACACUGUGACGGUGUCUUACCAGAAAGGGACGGCUAACUACGUG
This 505-nucleotide ribosomal RNA is filed under the name uncultured bacterium. RNAcentral describes it as "partial 16S ribosomal RNA". It matches the Rfam family "Bacterial small subunit ribosomal RNA", at positions 28 to 507 of the family's 1533-position model. The record is from RNAcentral.